AGUGAACGCUGGCGGUAGGCCUAACACAUGCAAGUCGAACGGCAGCACAGUAAGAGCUUGCUCUUACGGGUGGCGAGUGGCGGACGGGUGAGGAAUACAUCGGAAUCUACUUUUUCGUGGGGGAUAACGUAGGGAAACUUACGCUAAUACCGCAUACGACCUACGGGUGAAAGCAGGGGAUCUUCGGACCUUGCGCGAUUCAAUGAGCCGAUGUCGGAUUAGCUAGUUGGCGGGGUAAAGGCCCACCAAGGCGACGAUCCGUAGCUGGUCUGAGAGGAUGAUCAGCCACACUGGAACUGAGACACGGUCCAGACUCCUACGGGAGGCAGCAGUGGGGAAUAUUGGGCAAUGGGCGCAAGCCUGAUCCAGCCAUACCGCGUGGGUGAAGAAGGCCUUCGGGUUGUAAAGCCCUUUUGUUGGGAAAGAAAAGAAGCAGGUUAAUACCCCGAUGUUCUGACGGUACCCAAAGAAUAAGCACCGGCUAACUUCGUG
Molecule: ribosomal RNA, 492 nt
Filed under: uncultured bacterium
Lineage: Bacteria
Description: partial 16S ribosomal RNA
Rfam family: Bacterial small subunit ribosomal RNA
Source: RNAcentral